UGUAUCUACAGUAUAUAAAACAACGCCACAAAUAUGGUAUAAUAAUUAGAAAUCCUUCUCAAUUAGUUCCACAUUUUUUGCAGAGUCUCCCGAUUAUGAUGGUCCCCCGGGCAAGUUGGCCAAGCCUUUGGCUGUAGCCAUUGACGAGUACAUUCGCUCGGGUCAAAAGUUAGCUGGCAAUGUUCCGGCAAAUGUAUUGCGCAAAACGGCGUGGAAUUGCCUUUAAAAACGCAUCAAAUUAUGCCGGAGGAGAGGCAUCCACUCCGGAAUGGAGCUGCCCCUUCAAAUUGGUGCACACAAAGCUCCGGCGGAUGGCGGAAUGGAAAAUGGAAAAUGGGUGGUCUAGUUGGCUACUUGGCGUAUUUACCAGACGCUUAACCGACUUUCCGCACGCACGGGACUCUGGAAAAAUAUAUUGGCAGUGCGGCAGUGCUCCAGCUUCAGCUCCACUCCGCUGGCAAAAGUGCUCCACAAUGGCACUCGUUCAGACAAUGUUAAAUGCGCGCUCGUUGCGAGCUGUCUGUCAACUUGGCUCAAGUGGCCCCAGUCCCCCAAUUCACCAAAGCCCCCAAUCUCUGGCCAAUAGCUUCUCCUCGCCAGCCACUCGAUCGAUUCCCGCCUCUGACAGCGACACAAUGCGGAUGUGGACGCGGAUGCGGCCGAGGAAGCGGAGUGCACUUGUCGCCAUCAUUGACAUCAAUGCAUCGCAGCUGGCUUUUUAGCUGUCGCUCCCAAUGAGCAGCAAUGAGGGGCAAAGGACUAAGGACGCAGGACGAAGUGGGUGGUGUUGGCCAAACACUUUGGCAUAAUUUCCAGCGAAUAACUAAUGGGCGUGGCUAGCGCAUUUGGUACCCACUACCCGCCACGGAUACCCUCUUCAUUCAGAGCACUGGUCUACAAAAAGAAAAACAUCAUGGACCAUAGGCCACGUCAAAAUCAGAUUUUUUGCUCAUUUUACAUUUAGCGUACAAUGGGCAUAAUUACUCGAUUGGUUCAUUGGCCUUCUGUAAUUCUGUAUAUACUGUAUAUGACCUUAAUCUUAUCAUUUGAAUGCAACAUUAUUAAUAUUAAAGAUUUAUUGGCCAGCUCUGCGG
Non-coding RNA from Drosophila melanogaster (fruit fly), 1094 nucleotides. The record is from Ensembl. Lineage: Eukaryota; Metazoa; Arthropoda; Insecta; Diptera; Drosophilidae.